AGUGAACGCUGGCGGCAGGCCUAACACAUGCAAGUCGAGCGGCAGCGCGGGGGCAACCCUGGCGGCGAGCGGCGGACGGGUGAGGAAUUCGUCGGAAUCUGCCUUUUUGUGGGGGAUAACGUAGGGAAACUUACGCUAAUACCGCAUACGUCCUACGGGAGAAAGUGGGGGACCGCAAGGCCUCACGCAGAAAGAUGAGCCGACGACCGAUUAGCUAGUUGGUGGGGUAAAGGCCCACCAAGGCGACGAUCGGUAGCCGGUCUGAGAGGAUGAUCAGCCACACUGGGACUGAGACACGGCCCAGACUCCUACGGGAGGCAGCAGUGGGGAAUAUUGGACAAUGGGCGCAAGCCUGAUCCAGCCAUGCCGCGUGUGUGAAGAAGGCCUUCGGGUUGUAAAGCACUUUUGUCCGGAAAGAAAUCCCUGGAGCUAAUACCUUCGGGGGAUGACGGUACCGGAAGAAUAAGCACCGGCUAACUUCGUG
Molecule: ribosomal RNA, 484 nt
Filed under: uncultured bacterium
Lineage: Bacteria
Description: partial 16S ribosomal RNA
Rfam family: Bacterial small subunit ribosomal RNA
Source: RNAcentral